This 500-nucleotide ribosomal RNA is filed under the name uncultured bacterium. Its description in RNAcentral is "partial 16S ribosomal RNA". It matches the Rfam family "Bacterial small subunit ribosomal RNA", at positions 30 to 523 of the family's 1533-position model. The record is from RNAcentral.
AUUGAACGCUGGCGGCAUGCUUUACACAUGCAAGUCGAACGGUAACAGGGUGCUUGCACCGCUGACGAGUGGCGAACGGGUGAGUAAUGCGUCGGAACGUGCCGAGUAGUGGGGGGUAACGCAGCGAAAGUUGUGCUAAUACCGCAUACGUACUGAGGUAGAAAGUGGGGGACCUUCGGGCCUCACGCUAUUCGAGCGGCCGACGUCUGAUUAGCUAGUAGGUGAGGUAAAGGCUCACCUAGGCGACGAUCAGUAGCGGGUCUGAGAGGAUGAUCCGCCACACUGGGACUGAGACACGGCCCAGACUCCUACGGGAGGUAGCAGUGGGGAAUUUUGGACAAUGGGCGAAAGCCUGAUCCAGCCAUGCCGCGUGUCUGAAGAAGGCCUUCGGGUUGUAAAGGACUUUUGUCAGGGAGGAAAUCCCUAGUGCUAAUAACACUGGGGGAUGACAGUACCUGAAGAAUAAGCACCGGCUAACUACGUGCCAGCCGCCGCCGUAA